This 779-nucleotide ribosomal RNA is filed under the name uncultured Neocallimastigales. RNAcentral's name for it is "partial large subunit ribosomal RNA". It matches the Rfam family "Eukaryotic large subunit ribosomal RNA", at positions 24 to 614 of the family's 3401-position model. The record is from RNAcentral. Lineage: Eukaryota; Fungi; Neocallimastigomycota; Neocallimastigomycetes; Neocallimastigales.
UACGACUACAUAUCAGGCAUAUCAAUAAGCGGAGGAAAAGAAACUAACUAGGAUUCCCUCAGUAACGGCGAGUGAAGCGGGAAGAGCUCAAAUUUGAAAUCUUCAAGGUUCUACCUUGACGAAUUGUAGUUUAAUAGAAGUGUUUUCUGUUAGUGAAUUUGGCUAAAAGUUCUUUGGAAUAGGACAUCAUAGAGGGUGAGAAUCCCGUAUUUGACCGUUAUUCUCUAGCUGUGUGAUACACUUUCAAAGAGUCGGAUUGUUUGGGAAUGCAGUCCAAAAUGGGUGGUAAAUUUCAUCUAAAGCUAAAUAUUGGCGAGAGACCGAUAGCGAACAAGUACCGUGAGGGAAAGAUGAAAAGAACUUUGAAAAGAGAGUUAAACAGUACGUGAAAUUGUCAAAAGGGAAGCGUUUGACACCAGUGUUGUUUUCUCGAAAAUCAAUUAAAAAGAAGUUGGAUUUUGUAUUGUUAAGACCUUAUCAGCUUACUGUACUUUUUUCUUGCUCUUUUUAAUGCACUUUUCGUUUAACAAGUCAACAUCAAUUUCUUUUGUUGUAAAAGGGUCAUUGGAAGGUGGCUUUCACUUCGGUGAAAGUGUUUAUAGCCUUUGGCUUCUACAAUCGGAGAGAUUGAGGUCUGCAGCGUAGAUCCUUCGGGGUUAGAUACGUAGAUGCUAAGUUAUAGUUUUUUAUAGACAACUUGUUGACUAUGAUUAAUCAUGUAGCUUACUCGUUUACGCUAUUUUACCUACGCUUAGGAUGUUGAACGCGCACAGAGUCUC